CAGUCCACGCCGUAAACGAUGGUCACUAGCUGUUCGAACUUCGGUUUGAGUGGCUAAGCGAAAGUGAUAAGUGACCCACCUGGGGAGUACGUUCGCAAGAAUGAAACUCAAAGGAAUUGACGGGGGCCCGCACAAGCGGUGGAGCAUGUGGUUUAAUUCGAUGAUACGCGAGGAACCUUACCAGGGCUUAAAUGUAGUGUGACAGGACUAGAGAUAGUUUUUUCUUCGGACACAUUACAAGGUGCUGCAUGGUUGUCGUCAGCUCGUGCCGUGAGGUGUCAGGUUAAGUCCUAUAACGAGCGCAACCCCUGUUGUUAAUUGCCAGCGAUUCAAGUCGGGAACUCUAACAAGACUGCCAGUGCAAACUGUGAGGAAGGUGGGGAUGACGUCAAAUCAUCACGGCCCUUACGUCCUGGGCUACACACGUGCUACAAUGGUAGGGACAGAGAGCAGCCACUGGGCGACCAGGAGCGAAUCUAUAAACCCUAUCACAGUUCGGAUCGG
This 504-nucleotide ribosomal RNA is filed under the name uncultured bacterium. RNAcentral's name for it is "bacterial SSU rRNA". It matches the Rfam family "Bacterial small subunit ribosomal RNA", at positions 791 to 1301 of the family's 1533-position model. The record is from RNAcentral.